Molecule: long non-coding RNA, 2085 nt
Organism: Manis pentadactyla (Chinese pangolin)
Lineage: Eukaryota; Metazoa; Chordata; Mammalia; Pholidota; Manidae
Exons: 4
Source: RefSeq, a predicted model, not a curated record
GCCGCCACACCCCGGGGCUUUCGUCAUUGUUUACUUAAAAGGAACUCCAGCAAAUCACCAAACCACAUCAGAACAGAAAGUACAAACUCCUGAAAUGGAGGAGUUUGCUGAGCAGGGACCCUUCAACCCAAGACGCUCAACGUUAGCCCAGUGAGGAAACUGAGUCUUGGAGAUGCUAAUUGACCUGCCCAAGGUCACUCAGUUAAGCUGCAGCAUUCUGUCAACCAUCUCUCCAGCAUAUAGAAUUAAUUAAAAGGCCGAGAAAAAACUCCAGUGUGAACAAGAUUGGUUUGAACCCGAAGCCCUAGCUCUUGACAAGUAGUAGACUCUACCGUUACCUGGGAGGAAGAUGGUGAUGCCUCUUUAAGAUACGGAGACUCUGAGCCCUCAAGAGAUCCUGAAUUCUCCCAGUUUCCUCCAAUAUUUGGCUAGAACUCUCCAAACCAAUUUUCUCACACUCUUCUGACUUGGAAUCACUGAAAUUGAAACUGCCCUUUUCUGGAAGCCAUGCAAGUUAAAGCUGGACAACUUGAUGUAAACUUCAGGGAAAUCAUCACAACAGCUCAUGUGUGGACAAUCUUCGUGCCUGUUGCUAUGUGGCCACUCAGAAAGAUCACCAGAGGCAUUCAAACUGCAAACCAGGAAAAUCUGUCUGAUUGCCACUGCUUGCCCUCAAUCCAUCUGAAGAUGUUUGGAACAUGACAUCUAGAAAUUUUCUCAACUGGCUGCUCUCCAAACUCAGAAACGGAAUUUAUAAUUUGCUGAAACUAUUAACCUUUGUUUUUUCUUUUGUUUCCAUAGAAAUGUCUCUUGUUAAAUUCCCUGAUUGCUCACAUCACAUCGAAGCUUCAUUUAGGUGGAAGCUCACCUGCAACACAGACUCUUGAAAGAAAACAUCCUCAAAUUCAUCCUAUCCUAAGUAAUCAUUAGGAUAUGUGUUUGCUAACAGAUCAUGUUGUGCCUAUGUAAAUACCUUUUAAAAAAUUAUAACCCAUUUGAGUUAUUUAAUUGGUUAAAUCUUGGCUCCUGAGAAUCACUGCUCUAGGCAGUUAUUAAAUCCCUGGCUAUUAUUCUCCUUAUAGUCAUCGUAUUAACCUCUCUAGUAUGUUGUAUACUCUUGAGGGAUUUAAAUGCCAGUUGGCAGCCAACCCCUUGCAUGCAAAAUGGUAGCCGUCAGAAUCUGACAACUUGAUGAAAUCAACAAUAACCAUGUAAAUGAUGAAGAUAGUGACGCAUGGCCAUCCAGCAGGGCGACUCAACUAGUGGAGAUGCUAAAUGUAUGAUGCUUCGUCUUGACUACUACAUUGACAGUGGUAACUGAGAAUAACACUAUACCAGCUGGCCAUAUUCUCAGUCUCCUGAGAGAAUGAACAAAAUAGGUAAUUCUUAAAACCAAAAACAAAUGGAGACCAGCCCUGAAAAUUCUCUGAGCUGACAAAACCACUUAAGCCAGUCAAAGCUUUAUUUCGCCUAUUUUGCAAGACUAGCUUGACCUGGGUCAUUUCUUGCUAAUGCCUCUGAAAACUGUAAGCAAAACUUAAGCUGCUUCCCAAGGUUGAUAUGAAGUAACCACUGACCAAUUCUCUACCAUUUAAGAAAAUUCUGAUAUUAUAACCAGUCACUGUGAGGAAUAAAGUCACUUCUUUCUCACUGUAUAAACAGCUUCAUAACAAUAUAUCCCUGAGUGUGCUCUUGGUUUGCAAACUGUCUUUUUUGUUAUAUGCACAAUAAACUCUUACUAAUUACUGCUUCAGUGAUUCAUUGGUUUUACAUCUGUUAUUUCUGAACUUUUGACAGCAGAGCUGAAGGCACCAGCUUCCUCUCCUGGAGCUUCCAGUUGGAUGAGGGCUCAAAAACCUCUCUGCAUGGACUGCUACAGUUCCUAAUCACUCUCUGCUAAAUAUGACUCUUGGCUUCCAAGAAUAACUUCCAGAAGAAUUCUGGUUAUGGUGUAUUAGCCGGAGGGGAGUGUCACCUUAUCCUGUUAUCACCCAUGUAGCAUAAUCAAUUUAUUGGCCAAACUGGCCUCUCCUGGCAGAGAGCUCCCUGCAGAAGCUUGUUCUUGGUUCUAGAGAAUGGCACAAG